RNAcentral lists this ribosomal RNA (450 nucleotides) under uncultured bacterium. Its description in RNAcentral is "partial 16S ribosomal RNA". It matches the Rfam family "Bacterial small subunit ribosomal RNA", at positions 338 to 795 of the family's 1533-position model. The record is from RNAcentral.
CCUACGGGGGGCUGCAGUGAGGAAUAUUGCGCAAUGGGGGAAACCCUGACGCAGCGACGCCGCGUGAGUGAUGAAGGCCUUCGGGUUGUAAAGCUCUGUCAGAGGGAAAGAAAGGGGUGUUGGAAUAAUACCCAACACCAUUGACGGUACCCUCGGAGGAAGCACCGGCUAACUCCGUGCCAGCAGCCGCGGUAAUACGGCGGGUUCAAGUGGCAUAAAGAAUCACUGGGCGUAUAGGGCAGGUAGAUGUGAAAUCCCGGAGCUUAACUUCGGAACUGCAUUUGAUACUGCUCGUCUUGAGUAUGGUAGAGGGGGAUGGAAUUCCCGGUGUAGAGGUGAAAUUCGUAGAUAUCGGGAGGAACACCAGAGGCGAAGGCGAUCCCCUGGGCCAUUACUGACGCUGAGGUGCGAAAGCGUGGGGAGCAAACAGGAUUAGAUACCCUUGUAGUC